AGCUCCAAUAGCGUAUAUUAAAGUUGUUGCAGUUAAAAAGCUCGUAGUUGAAUAUUGGGCCUGGCGGCAUGGUCUUGCCUCACGGUAAGUACUAUGAAGUUGGGUCUUUCCUUCUAGUAAACUAUGGUGCUCUUUAUUGAGUGCUAUAGGGAACUAGGACUUUUACUUUGAAAAAAUUAGAGUGUUUAAAGCAGGCCUUUGCUUGAAUACAUUAGCAUGGAAUAAUAGAAUAGGACCUUGAUUCUGUUUCUGUUGGUUUUCGGAACCGAGGUAAUGAUUAAUAGGGACAGUUGGGGGCAUUAGUACUGCAGUGUCAGAGGUGAAAUUCUUGGAUUUCUGCAAGACUAACUUAUGCGAAAGCAUUUGUCAAGGAUGUUUUCA
This 381-nucleotide ribosomal RNA is filed under the name uncultured Mesochytriaceae. RNAcentral's name for it is "SSU rRNA". It matches the Rfam family "Eukaryotic small subunit ribosomal RNA", at positions 587 to 972 of the family's 1831-position model. Lineage: Eukaryota; Fungi; Chytridiomycota; Chytridiomycetes; Mesochytriales. The record is from RNAcentral.